GACGAACGCUGGCGGCGCGCCUAACACAUGCAAGUCGAACGAGAGAGAAGGAGCUUGCUUCUUCGAUCGAGUGGCGAACGGGUGAGUAACGCGUGAGGAACCUGCCUCAAAGAGGGGGACAACAGUUGGAAACGACUGCUAAUACCGCAUAAGCCCACGGGUCGGCAUCGACCAGAGGGAAAAGGAGCAAUCCGCUUUGAGAUGGCCUCGCGUCCGAUUAGCUAGUUGGUGAGGUAAUGGCCCACCAAGGCGACGAUCGGUAGCCGGACUGAGAGGUUGAACGGCCACAUUGGGACUGAGACACGGCCCAGACUCCUACGGGAGGCAGCAGUGGGGAAUAUUGCACAAUGGGGGAAACCCUGAUGCAGCGACGCCGCGUGGAGGAAGAAGGUCUUCGGAUUGUAAACUCCUGU
Molecule: ribosomal RNA, 413 nt
Filed under: uncultured bacterium
Lineage: Bacteria
Description: bacterial SSU rRNA
Rfam family: Bacterial small subunit ribosomal RNA
Source: RNAcentral